Molecule: ribosomal RNA, 547 nt
Filed under: Nemophora degeerella
Lineage: Eukaryota; Metazoa; Arthropoda; Insecta; Lepidoptera; Adelidae
Description: eukaryotic LSU rRNA
Source: RNAcentral
GGCCCUCACGCUCUCGCGCUGGCUCUAGCGCGAGGUAGGAGGGUUCUCACGCGCUCCGUGAGAAGUGAAAGCAAUGCGGAAAGUCAAAAGCUUAGAGAUACUGAGCGUGUGUACGAUCUGAGGAACCAGGCACAAAGUUCUGCCCAGGACGCUCACGGGCUUUGUCUUAGUAGCGGCUGGCUCUGCGCGUGCCAGGCUCUGUUAUGCCGACGCUAUCGUCCGCGCGGCGUGGCUGGCGGCGCGAACGCCGUCCGCUAGCUACUGCUGCAACGGAACGCAGCGCGGCCUGCGCGUUCUCGCGCACGCGCAAAGUGCAAAACAUGGCAGGCAUGCGGCCGGCCGGUGGCGGCGCCAGGUUGCCGCGCGCUUGCGGCGACCCGAGGGCCCGCCGCGAAUCCGGCUGUAGCUUGCCCAGCGCUACAGAAUGACUCUCUCUUCACGUGCGGCAGGGGCCUGCGCACGGCUGCGCGCGGCACGGGCGGCGGCCUUGCUGCCCGUAGCUCGCGCGCGCGCCGCGCGGCCCCUUACUGCUACUUAGAGAGGCAAG